UGGGGAAUAUUGCACAAUGGGCGAAAGCCUGAUGCAGCAACGCCGCGUGAAGGAUGAAGGGUUUCGGCUCGUAAACUUCUAUCAAUAGGGACGAAAAAAAUGACGGUACCUAAAUAAGAAGCCCCGGCUAACUACGUGCCAGCAGCCGCGGUAAUACGUAGGGGGCAAGCGUUAUCCGGAAUUACUGGGUGUAAAGGGAGAGUAGGCGGCAUGGUAAGUUAGAUGUGAAAGCCCGGGGCUUAACCUCGGGAUUGCAUUUAAAACUAUCAAGCUAGAGUACAGGAGAGGUAAGUGGAAUUCCUAGUGUAGCGGUGAAAUGCGUAGAUAUUAGGAAGAACAUCAGUGGCGAAGGCGACUUACUGGACUGAAACUGACGCUGAGGCUCGAAAGCGUGGGGAGCGAACAGG
RNAcentral lists this ribosomal RNA (407 nucleotides) under uncultured bacterium. Its description in RNAcentral is "bacterial SSU rRNA". It matches the Rfam family "Bacterial small subunit ribosomal RNA", at positions 355 to 776 of the family's 1533-position model. The record is from RNAcentral.